UCAGGUUCUCAGGUACCAGUCCUCUUGUAAACACAGAAAGAAAACACAUACAGUGUCUUUGGCAACCAGGAAACACACAUGCACAAGAAGGACCGUCUCUGCACCUGAGAAAGCCAGACAUCCUGUUACCAUGGCUACUGAAGAACCACAGAACAAAACACAGGGAGACCCCACGAUCGAAGCAGGCGACAUUCAUUACGCUUCUCUGGGCCGUCAGAACUGGAGAGAGAGGCCGCACACUCAGGGCGAGAGACACCAUGUGAUCUACUCCACUGUGGCUGGAGGGCCAGUUUAGUCAGAGGAGGACAGCACUACGUCCUCCCAAAACAAAAACAACCUCCUCACAAAACAAUAACAACGUCCUCAAUGCACUGGAGUAAACUAUUCCUCAGACUGCACUGGUCAUGUAAUGGAGUAUUUCAAAGUAAUGUAACUUUUUAGAUGAUGGUAGAAUUGUAUAACUCUUAUUCAGAAUUUUCAGUGAAGCAUGUUACUUAAGUGUUUCAAAAUAAGCAUUUGACCUAGGACUAUUUCAUUUGCAUACAAUCUUAAGUAAGUGUCACCUGUAAGAUGUACGAAUUGUGGAGGUGAAGUUCGGCUCAUUAUACUAUUUAUAAAAUCAAAGGUCUUAAAUGUCAUAUAGAAUGAAAAGCAGUACUGGAUCUACAUAGCUGUAAUGACAUUAAAUACAUGACCUUAAUUGAAA
Long non-coding RNA from Anguilla anguilla (European eel), 706 nucleotides. RefSeq lists it as uncharacterized. The transcript is spliced from 3 exons. Lineage: Eukaryota; Metazoa; Chordata; Actinopteri; Anguilliformes; Anguillidae. The record is from RefSeq and is a predicted model, not a curated record.